UUUAGAGACAUUUUGCCCCCAUU
RNAcentral lists this small nuclear RNA (23 nucleotides) under Arabidopsis thaliana (thale cress). RNAcentral describes it as "snRNA_17688". Lineage: Eukaryota; Viridiplantae; Streptophyta; Magnoliopsida; Brassicales; Brassicaceae. The record is from RNAcentral.